This 1296-nucleotide ribosomal RNA is filed under the name Triticum aestivum (bread wheat). RNAcentral's name for it is "partial small subunit ribosomal RNA". The record is from RNAcentral. Lineage: Eukaryota; Viridiplantae; Streptophyta; Magnoliopsida; Poales; Poaceae.
AUGGAGAGCCACGAGCAGGACGACAUCGAGGAGCAGGACGACGAGCAGCUACGACGGUGCCGCGACCUGGGCCGCCAACGAACGCGGCCGUGCCCGCGGGAAUGGAGGACGUCGAGCAGGGGAGUUGGGUCCAGCGUCGAGGAGCACACUGGCGGCAAUAAGGUUCCACUCAAGGUUUUUAAGUAUCGUCCAUCACAAUCAGCAGAAGCUUCAACUGAGUUAGAGGCAAACACCAACCCACUUGAUCCGAAGGAUGAUGAAGGUUUGGACAAGAAGGAGGUGGUGACACCGCAGAUGAAACCGGUGGAGGCGGAGGGCAAGGGAUCCAGCAGUUCGUCAUCUCCUCGCUCGGAGGAUGAUGAUGGUUUGGGCAAGAAGGAGGUGGUGACACCGCAGAUGAAACCGGUGGAGAAGGAGGACAAGGGAUCCAGCAGUCCAUCAUCUCCUCACUCGGAGGACAUAGCCAAGGAGGACGUUGCCAAAUAUAAUCAUAAUGAUGGGACAAAACGUUUGCAAAGGGCCAAUUGCUCGCUUUUCAAAGAGCUCUUUGUCAACACAAGUCCUUCAAGCAAUGCAAAAGGCUGCCUUGAUCCAACAAAACUGCUUGCAUCUGUCUGCUCAAAGUGGCCCCAAUUUAUUACCGGCGGAAUGGAGGAUGCCGAAGAACUCAUCCAAUGUUUUCUUCAUGGUUUGGAUGAAGAGGAAGAUGAAGCACGUCAACCUUCAAUGGAUGCUUCAAAGAAGGUCACAAUUGUCAAUUCCAUCUUUGCAGGCGAGGAGUGUAGUGUUCGAACCAGCACAGAAUGUGUACAUAGUUCCAAGGAGAAACAUGAAGAGACCCUUAUAUUCCGACUGCCAAUUCUAGAUAGGAAGCUCCCUGCUGUAGCUUCGAGGAGCAAUAAAGCUGAUGCUGAGGCACAUGAUGGCGAUGAUCCUGUAUCAGUUGAGGAUUGCUUCUCCUUAUACACCAAGGAAGAGUUGAUGUAUGAUUGGGUCUGACAUGUGUGUUUCAAGGAGAUUCUUAAUAUGCAGCCAUACAUGGGCGAAAGGGUUGACGAGAAUGACAAUAACACCUACCGUCUAGUUGGUGUUGCUCAACACAUUGGAGAUCGGGAAGGAGGUCAUUAUAUUGUUGUUCAAAUCAUGAUGCCCAAUCUUCUGCCAAUGUCACGAGCUGAGGGUGAAGUUAACAGAAAUUGCCCGGAAGUAUAUGCUGGAACUUGUAACAAGUUUGAAAAUAAAGUUGACAGAAUGCAACAGGAAUUUAAUCUAGCAGCUCGAGUUAAAAUUUCUUGA